CACUGGUGCAUUGUGGGAAAUUGCGUUAAGUAACCAGAGAAAGGUCUGCUAGCCGUUUGGGCACCAAACUCAAAAAGCAAAUGGACGCUAUGGUUCAAUUUUUGCCACGGAAUCCAGUUUAAGGCUUUAAUUAUUUUAAAUAAAUUCCUAUUAAAUUCGGGCGAAAAACUUCCGUGACGUUUGCUUUUGUACUUUAAAUUCAUAUUGGUAACAUUCGUUAACGUCAUUGCAGCAGUUGCCAUGGAAACCCGAGAGGCGACUUUAAACAUGCUAGCUAGCUAGUCCGUUAUUCAGUGUUAGCGAAACACAAAGCGGUCAAGAUGUCGUCUUUUGAACACUUGGAUGCUUUGCGAAGACGAAAUAAAGAACUGCUGCAGAAAUUGAACCGUAAAACCGAAAAUAUGCAGCGUCAAAAUUUGGAUUGUUCGAUUAAACACGUAGAAAAUGAAACCAAAACAACGGAGUCCGUUUGCGAUGUUUGGAAAUUAGUGAACAGUAGCGCACGCGACCGGAAGCCUCUAACAGAGAGAAGCAGAAGUUCGUUAAAUGUCUCAGAUGCUUUUAUAAAUCUGAGUGUGAGUGGAAACCGUUCAAAAGUGGUCCGAAAUGCUUUGUGUAACCCGAGAGACGUCGUGAAGACAUCAAAACUAGCAGAUAGCAUCAUAGAGAUCCAGAGCUCUUUUUCAAGAGAGACCUGUUCAUCAUUAAGAAAUAAAAUCUUAGAAGUAGAAAUGUCAGACUGUUUACCAGAAGAAGAAAGGAAAUUUCCAUCAGAAGACGCCACGAGUGACGUCCUCCUUCAAGACCAAGGGAACAGUCGCCUACACGUUCGGUUUAAUCCUACAGGAACGAUGCAGCCCAAGUCCGUUAUCUCACAGGAAAAGGGUGAAAGCGUCGUGGGCCGAGUCAGGUUUGCAGACAAUGAGCUGGAGACCGUAUCUAAGUCGGAAAGACGACGUGUGCAGCCUUUACUGGGAUAUGACUGGAUAGCUGGCCUGCUUGAUGCUGAGAGCUCCCUGAGUGACCGCUCCGAAGACUUUUUCAGCGAGCUUCGCACCUUUCGCAGAGUCAAUAAGGAGGAGUGUGUCCACAGUGUGUCCUCAUGGCUUCCUGUUGCAGCCGACUUCUGGACACCUUCAGUAGAAGACAAUGUGACUAACCACGAGCGUACAACAGACACUCACCAAUGCACAUUCUGCUACCGAAUCAACAGUCGGCUUUUUGCAACUCCUCUGGAUCCUCAAGCUGCGUGUCCCGUUUGCAAGAUGCCCAAAGAGAAGCAUCCACACACAGAGAACGAGCCUGCUUUUAUUAGGGUUAGUAUUCCUCGCGCAACACUUCUGCCAGCGUAUCGAUACAAAGCGCACCGCCGCUGCAGCUUCGAUCCGUCAGACAGUCUUGGUUUGCCCUCUCACUGUCUGUCUGGAUGGUCAAACAUCUCAAUGGGAGCAGGCUCUGAGAUGAGCAACCUAGAUCUGAGAAGCUCCAUGGAGAUCAGGCCAAAUACAGGAACAGUGCCUUCAGCCCAGCCUGAGAACCAGCUGGCAAAACGACGGUGGGGGCGGUGCCGCGGUGAGCAAGUGAUGUAAUCCGUGUGCGGCCCCAACACCAGGAACACCGUCUAUUGCAGCAAGCCUACUGUCCAACAUCCAUUUAUUCAAACAUGUAUAAUACAUCCAUCCAUCAAGUCAACAUCCACUUACUAAUCAUCCAUGCAUGUGUGCAUCCAUUUAUCCAUCAAUCCAUCCAUCAUGUACUCCUACACAUCUAUUCAUACAUAGUAAUUUCAUAAUAAUGGUUAAACUGAUGGAAUCUCUUUUAUAAACAACUUUAACUGAGCAACAAAUGUAGAUGAGUCUGUCCAUAUAAUGAGUAUGAAACUGUUUCUGCAAAUUUGUAAUCAGGAAUCUGAAUGCAAGAACCACAAAACAUUCCAUGUAUUUUAUUAUGUUCCAUUAUUACAGGGUAGUUGUUCACAAACCAGUUCUUUUUACCCUUUUCUGUGAAUUGUUAACGAGUAAUUAAACUCUAUAAUCAGGUCACCAUGGUUACAUCCAACCAGCUGUCAUCAUCACCACACAGACACAUAAUUCCAGUUCUAAUACCAUGAUGGGAUUGUGGAAUUUCUAGACUAGUUUCCUGUAUCCUCUUCCUCCGGAAUAUUUAAAUAAUCAUUCAGUUGUUGUUGUUAUCUGCCAACCGGCCUACUGAAGGGUAAUUCCAGGGUUAUGGAUGGUGACAUUUUAUCUCCUACUGACUGAGUAUGCAAAGCUGGUCAGGAAGAUUGGAGACCGGUCACUGGAGAUGAAUGAUCAAUCUCCUCUUCAAUCAAAUCAACACUUAAGUAGAACUUUUUCAACAGCAUAAAGUUGGUUAAAAGGUCUUACCCAGUAACACACUAUGCCAAAGUUGAAAGAAAUUCCAGAAAUGAUGAGGAUGAAUGUGAUCGAAAUCCAUCAGUCUGGGAAGGGUUAGGCUCUGGGACUCCAAAGGGCCACAGCGAGAGCCGUUAUCUCCAAACGCAAAAAACUCUGCACAGUAGUGAACCUUCCCAGAAGUGGCCGACCUUCCAAAAUUCCUUCAAGAGCACAGCAUUGACUUAUCCAGGAAGUCACCAAAGAGCCAAUGACAACGUCAAAGGACCUACAGGCCUCUCUUGCAUCAAUAAAAGUCACUGUUCAUGACUCCAUUAUCAGAAUGACACUGGGCAAAAAUGGCAUCCAUGGAAGAGUGGUGAGGUGAAAACCACUGCUAAGCCAGAAGAACAUUAAGGCUCGUCUGAAUUUUGCUAGAACACACCUUGAUGAUCUCAAACCUUUUGGGAGAAUGUUCUGUGGACUGAUGAGUCGAAAGUGGAACUGUUUGGAAGACAGGAGUCCUGUUGCAUCUGGCAUAAACCAAACACAGAAUUCCACAAAAAGAACAUCAUACCUAUGGUCAAGCAUGGUGGUGGCAGUGUGAUGGUGUGCGGAUACUUAGCUGCUUCAGGGCCUGGACAACUUGCAAUAAUUGAGGGGAAACAUGAAACAUUCUGCUCUGUACCAGAAAAUCCUAAAGGAGAAUGUCCGGUCUUCAGUCAGUAAGCUGAAACUCCAGCGCAACUGGAUUAUGCAGCAAGACAAUGAUCCAAAGCAUAGGAGUAAGUCCUAGUCCUAGAGGAUGUCUCCAGGUCCAGGGCGUCAGGAUGCCAGCGCUCUGAUCAGCUUUUGGACGUUUCUCGCCUGGCACGAUAUCAGUUCCAGCACCUCGCCUCCAUGAGGACUAAACCGAAUAAGAGCUCCUACCCAUUUUACUUA
This is an RNA transcript of Ictalurus furcatus (blue catfish), 3296 nucleotides long. It is a transcript of the gene named migration and invasion inhibitory protein, with no coding region annotated. The transcript has 11 exons. NCBI's taxonomy places the organism in Eukaryota, Metazoa, Chordata, Actinopteri, Siluriformes, Ictaluridae. The record is from RefSeq and is a predicted model, not a curated record.